This 434-nucleotide long non-coding RNA is filed under the name Helianthus annuus (common sunflower). RNAcentral describes it as "sRNA HanXRQr2_Chr06g0277741". The record is from RNAcentral. Lineage: Eukaryota; Viridiplantae; Streptophyta; Magnoliopsida; Asterales; Asteraceae.
GGAAAAAUCUUUGCUUUUAUAAAAUCAUACAACAAUCUUGUUAAAAACUUGAAGCUCACGCUUCCAAUCUCAUCAAACGAUGCACAAAAAUGGGGUUUUUUAUAAACAAAAACAAGAAACUAACAGUCCAACAAACCUACCACCUUAAGAUAGACGAUUAAUGCAAUCCAUUAGAGCAUUGGUUUGUUCUGGUUUACCAACAGAAACACGAACAUAACCCUUCAGUUCUUUGUUGCUGUAGUGGCGUAUCAUCACCCCCAUUUUUGCCAGAGGAUUAAUGGAGAUAAGCUGUACCUUUAGCUUUUUAGCAUCCCGUCCAUUAGUAACCUCACAAAGAAUAAAAUUAGAAUAGCUUGGAUAUGGAUUUAGAAAUGGCACUUGUUUCAAAAGCUUAAACAGCCUUUCUCUUUCUUGUACCAGAGCAACUUUAACUU